GGCGAGGGAAGGAGGCAUUCAUUCCCCUUCUUCAAGAAUUCUUUAUGAAAAAGAUUGUGAAGACACAAAAACCAGAAGAAAAAUGGAUCUGAACGUUAUGCAAAUGUGAGACCCUCUGCCAAGAGGAAAGGUUUCAUUUGACAUUGGAGCAGGACUGCCAGGAAAUUACAAGGGGGAAGUAAACCCUGGAAGCAGUCCAGCAAGAGCCUUGGUCGCCUGCAGUGUGUGGUCAUAUUCCAGUAGAACCAGGGACCCUGGUAAAAUGAUCUGUUUCACUCUGGGUUCCUCAAACAUCUGUCACUCUGUAGGCUGGAGAAUUCUGGAAACAAUCUCCCCCUGAGGAUUCCAAAGGUAUUGAC
Molecule: long non-coding RNA, 359 nt
Filed under: Cricetulus griseus (Chinese hamster)
Lineage: Eukaryota; Metazoa; Chordata; Mammalia; Rodentia; Cricetidae
Description: lncRNA (ENSCGRG00015041952.1)
Source: RNAcentral